GAGGGUAGAGCUCAAGUGGUAGAGCACUUGCUUAGCAUGCAUGAGGUCCUGAGUUCAACCCCCAGUACCUCCU
This 73-nucleotide transfer RNA is filed under the name Camelus bactrianus (Bactrian camel). It matches the Rfam family "tRNA". Rfam says of the family: Transfer RNA (tRNA) molecules are approximately 80 nucleotides in length. Their secondary structure includes four short double-helical elements and three loops (D, anti-codon, and T loops). The record is from Rfam by way of RNAcentral. RNAcentral also lists the same sequence under 3 other names. Lineage: Eukaryota; Metazoa; Chordata; Mammalia; Artiodactyla; Camelidae.